RNAcentral lists this long non-coding RNA (310 nucleotides) under Malus domestica (apple). RNAcentral describes it as "long non-coding RNA (MDOM_LNC012586)". Lineage: Eukaryota; Viridiplantae; Streptophyta; Magnoliopsida; Rosales; Rosaceae. The record is from RNAcentral.
UUUAAACCUUUGAUCUGCAAGUUUUCUUCUGAAUUUGAUGUUGUCCGUACAUGAGGGAAGGAGAGAGAGAGUGAGUACGAGAGAGGAGAGAGCACGGGAGAGAAAAGAGAGGAAGGGUGUGUGUGUGUGAGUGGUCCACGUGGUUCACCAACCAAAACCACAUAAACUUAGUUCAAUGUUUGUCCAAAGAUUAAGGAGAAAUGCAAGUUUGAACCACCCCUAUCAUGCAUAAUCAAGGUAUUAAAUAUCGGUAAUAUCGGAAAUAUCGGUAGUUCGAAAACACGGAAAUAUCGAUGGAAAUAUCGGGAUA